RNAcentral lists this ribosomal RNA (1412 nucleotides) under Agromyces sp. RNAcentral describes it as "bacterial SSU rRNA". It matches the Rfam family "Bacterial small subunit ribosomal RNA". Lineage: Bacteria; Bacillati; Actinomycetota; Actinomycetes; Micrococcales; Microbacteriaceae. The record is from RNAcentral.
CUUAACACAUGCAAGUCGAACGAUGAACCGGGUGCUUGCGCCUGGGGAUUAGUGGCGAACGGGUGAGUAACACGUGAGUAACCUGCCCUGGACUCUGGGAUAACCCCGAGAAAUCGGAGCUAAUACCGGAUAGGACCUGGAACCGCAUGGUUUUGGGUGGAAAGUUUUUUCGGUCUGGGAUGGACUCGCGGCCUAUCAGCUUGUUGGUGAGGUAAUGGCUCACCAAGGCGUCGACGGGUAGCCGGCCUGAGAGGGUGACCGGCCACACUGGGACUGAGACACGGCCCAGACUCCUACGGGAGGCAGCAGUGGGGAAUAUUGCACAAUGGGCGAAAGCCUGAUGCAGCAACGCCGCGUGAGGGAUGACGGCCUUCGGGUUGUAAACCUCUUUUAGUAGGGAAGAAGGGCUUCGGCUUGACGGUACCUGCAGAAAAAGCACCGGCUAACUACGUGCCAGCAGCCGCGGUAAUACGUAGGGUGCGAGCGUUGUCCGGAAUUAUUGGGCGUAAAGAGCUCGUAGGCGGUUUGUCACGUCUGCUGUGAAAUCCCGAGGCUCAACCUCGGGCCUGCAGUGGGUACGGGCAGACUGGAGUGCGGUAGGGGAGAUUGGAAUUCCUGGUGUAGCGGUGGAAUGCGCAGAUAUCAGGAGGAACACCGAUGGCGAAGGCAGAUCUCUGGGCCGUAACUGACGCUGAGGAGCGAAAGCGUGGGGAGCGAACAGGAUUAGAUACCCUGGUAGUCCACGCCGUAAACGUUGGGCGCUAGAUGUGGGGACCAUUCCACGGUUUCCGUGUCGUAGCUAACGCAUUAAGCGCCCCGCCUGGGGAGUACGGCCGCAAGGCUAAAACUCAAAGGAAUUGACGGGGGCCCGCACAAGCGGCGGAGCAUGCGGAUUAAUUCGAUGCAACGCGAAGAACCUUACCAAGGCUUGACAUAUACGAGAACGCCGCAGAAAUGUGGAACUCUUUGGACACUCGUAUACAGGUGGUGCAUGGUUGUCGUCAGCUCGUGUCGUGAGAUGUUGGGUUAAGUCCCGCAACGAGCGCAACCCUCGUCGUAUGUUGCCAGCACGUAAUGGUGGGAACUCAUAUGAGACUGCCGGGGUCAACUCGGAGGAAGGUGGGGAUGACGUCAAAUCAUCAUGCCCCUUAUGUCUUGGGCUUCACGCAUGCUACAAUGGCCGGUACAAAGGGCUGCGAUGUCGUAAGGCGGAGCGAAUCCCAAAAAGCCGGUCUCAGUUCGGAUUGAGGUCUGCAACUCGACCUCAUGAAGUCGGAGUCGCUAGUAAUCGCAGAUCAGCAACGCUGCGGUGAAUACGUUCCCGGGCCUUGUACACACCGCCCGUCAAGUCAUGAAAGUCGGUAACACCCGAAGCCGGUGGCCUAACCCUUGUGGAGGGAGCCGUCGAAGGU